This 899-nucleotide long non-coding RNA is filed under the name Amphimedon queenslandica. Its description in RNAcentral is "uncharacterized LOC109593405". Lineage: Eukaryota; Metazoa; Porifera; Demospongiae; Haplosclerida; Niphatidae. The record is from RNAcentral.
UAUGGGUCUGAUACAGUCUAAUUGUAUCUGAUUUAGUUUUACCUAUAAUCUUGCUUUACCUACCUAUGCUACAUGCCUGUAUUGGAUGAAUUUUUAGCAUGGAAAAAACAUUUAGGCCUUAUCAAGAAUGUUUAUUGAGUAGCAAAACUUUUGGUAAAUAAAUUAAACUGAAAAUAAUGCUUUGUUGAAAGUUUUAUAAAUUAAAUCACUAAUAGUGUAACUGCUCGCAAUUGAAAUCUCCAUUAUAACAGUUAUGCCCAGAGUGCCUUGUCUAUGGUAGUCAUUGUGAUUGUUUACUUGUACAUGUAUGGUCUGAGACGAUUCCUCAUGAUUUAUGCAUUGAAGUUCCACAGUCAUUAAUCAUGUAGUCUAAGUAUUAUUUGCUACAUGGUAUUAUAAUGUUUAGUAAAGCUGCAUAAUGCAUGUUGUAAUGUUACUAUAGGUUCAUAACACAAAAUUAUUCCCUUUUUAAAAAUACAUGUAUCCAUUGCCUCAUUUUUGUGUUCCUUAAUUGACACCUAUUUUGUAUAUCUUUGUCUCUUGAUGUCUCUUUCUCUCUUUUGCUUUUCUCUCCUCCUCAUGUAUAUGUAUACUGUAUGUCUAACUCUUGCUCUUUCUUUUUUCUUCUCUAGGUAUACCUCUCAGUCUCACAUGUCUUCACUCUUUCUCGCAUUAGCGCAAGCAUAACUGCAUUGUCUGUUGAGGUCCCAUCAAAUGCACUUGCUGAAAUAUCUGGCAAAUAUUGUGGGAACAGAAACACAUGCUAACAAACGUUGUGGAGAAUGGAAAGACAAAUACUUACCAAUUAAUGAUAAAAGAAAUGCCUAAUUUGAAGAAUGAAUUACACUUAUUUUCAUAAUCAAGAAGCAGAUGUGUCAAGAUGAACUCAAACAAUGGAA